RNAcentral lists this ribosomal RNA (764 nucleotides) under Klebsiella sp. RNAcentral's name for it is "bacterial SSU rRNA". It matches the Rfam family "Bacterial small subunit ribosomal RNA", at positions 1 to 775 of the family's 1533-position model. The record is from RNAcentral. Lineage: Bacteria; Pseudomonadati; Pseudomonadota; Gammaproteobacteria; Enterobacterales; Enterobacteriaceae.
AUAUUUUUUCUCUGCUCAGAUUGACGCUGCGCAGGCUACACAUGCAAGUCGAGCGUAGCACAGAGAGCUGCUCUCGGUGACGAGCGCGGACGGUGAGUAAUGUCUGGAAACUGCCUGAUGGAGGGGGAUAACUACUGGAAACGGUAGCUAAUACCGCAUAAUGUCGCAAGACCAAAGUGGGGGACCUUCGGGCCUCAUGCCAUCAGAUGUGCCCAGAUGGGAUUAGCUAGUAGGUGGGGUAACGGCUCACCUAGGCGACGAUCCCUAGCUGGUCUGAGAGGAUGACCAGCCACACUGGAACUGAGACACGGUCCAGACUCCUACGGGAGGCAGCAGUGGGGAAUAUUGCACAAUGGGCGCAAGCCUGAUGCAGCCAUGCCGCGUGUGUGAAGAAGGCCUUCGGGUUGUAAAGCACUUUCAGCGGGGAGGAAGGCGGUGAGGUUAAUAACCUCGUCGAUUGACGUUACCCGCAGAAGAAGCACCGGCUAACUCCGUGCCAGCAGCCGCGGUAAUACGGAGGGUGCAAGCGUUAAUCGGAAUUACUGGGCGUAAAGCGCACGCAGGCGGUCUGUCAAGUCGGAUGUGAAAUCCCCGGGCUCAACCUGGGAACUGCAUUCGAAACUGGCAGGCUAGAGUCUUGUAGAGGGGGGUAGAAUUCCAGGUGUAGCGGUGAAAUGCGUAGAGAUCUGGAGGAAUACCGGUGGCGAAGGCGGCCCCCUGGACAAAGACUGACGCUCAGGUGCGAAAGCGUGGGGAGCAAACAA